Labrus mixtus (cuckoo wrasse) is the source of this 1569-nucleotide long non-coding RNA. RefSeq lists it as uncharacterized. The record is from RefSeq and is a predicted model, not a curated record. The transcript has 2 exons. NCBI's taxonomy places the organism in Eukaryota, Metazoa, Chordata, Actinopteri, Labriformes, Labridae.
UUAACAACAGAAUAUGAAGAAGAUACAUUAGAGGGAUUCAAAUAGUUCAGUGGUAAUUUGAGGUCACUGAUGGCGUUUAUGUUUUAUUAAAGGAGAAAAUAACAAAUAUGCUAAUGUCACGACUUAAUGGUUAGGCUUAGAAAUCAGUUUUUUUUAAAUGUUCCCACCACUCCGCUGUUUUAGUAACACCACUGGGAACAAAACUAAUCAAACAUCUCUGUAUAUUCAUUUAAAAUCAUUGAGUUAACUCCUCCCCUGCUCUGUGGAAGAUGAUGUGAGGUUUCCAAACGAUAUCCAGCAGUCUGCGCUGACGAUCGAUCUCUUCCUCGUACUCGACGAUAGUUCUUUUAAAAACUACAAAAAUGUCUUCCGCAGCAGCCGUUAGUCGCUGGUUGAUAAACUCUCUCAGACUCUCAGCUGAACACAUUGUUGUGGUUUUAUUAAACUUUAAAAAAAGAUGAACUAGGACAACAGGAAAGUCUGAGAGGAAAUGUAGCUGCGUUCAGAUCUGGUGCUCGCGCUGUUUACUUCCGCUGUGUGUCACACUAUAAAGUAUCCUACCGACGGUGGAGGUGCGGCAGCCUUUUGUUCCGCUUUCUGUGGAUUUAUUUUGUUCAAAACAUGUUUUUAUUAUCAGAAACAAGACGUAAAAAACUUCUCUUUAUUAAAAAAACUAGAUUAUAUUGUUCAGUGAGUUACUAUGGUUACAGAUAGACAGAAAGUGCGUUAUUAAGGUUAGCCUACAGGGACAGUGAGUUACAUAGAUACUUUAUUGAUACAGAGGGAAAUUCUAUAAUUACUAAAGUUACACAGGGACAGACUGUUACCAUGGUAACAUGAACAGUGGUUUACUAAGGGUACAGGGACAGUGAGUUACUUUAUGAGUUACUUUAGUUACAGGGACUGUUACUAUGGUAACCGGGACAGGCUGUGUCUGUCUGGAAUAUGCUCCAAUCUGCUUUUUUUUGUCCACAAUGAAACUAAAAUAAUGACAUGAAUUAUAUACUGAACUAAAGUCUAUAUUUACUGUGUCAUCCAAAACUUCGGGUCGGCUUCAUGAAUUAAAUCAUGAGGAAUUAACUUUUCCUCGAUGGGACCUGGAGCCUGAUGAACAUCUGAAAACAAACGACUCAAGAGGACAAAAACAUAAACAUCAGAAAAUAACACCAACUUCAUGUUUGAGUCAAAUUAAGUUUAAUUUCAAAGAAGAUUAAUGUACAGCCUUAAUAAAAUCCCCACUGUGAUAUUUAAUAAACAGAAGUGGUUGAUGUUAUUUAAUGCAACAUGGCCGUCGUAUAAGAGGCGGAUUGGAAGCAGUGAAACUUUGUGUUGACAUGGUGUCAGUUAUUUAAAAAGUAAAUCACUUGUAGAAUAUAGAGACAUUAUUUGAGUGAAUUAUCAAGAGUAACACACAUGAACAACAUGACAGAAAGAUCACUGUGUCUGGGUUUACACCAAGAGCAGAAACACCAGCCCAUCUUAAAACACGGGGUUAAUUAGAUCAGACGAGGAACUCGUAGAGAAUGUGUUGAAGAAAUGUGGAGAACAUGUUCCCUCUAAAGUGAAGAA